CCACGUUUUCCGCGCCGUAGCUAACGCAUUAAGUGCCCCGCCUGGGGAGUACGGCCGCAAGGCUAAAACUCAAAGGAAUUGACGGGGGCCCGCACAAGCGGCGGAGCAUGCGGAUUAAUUCGAUGCAACGCGAAGAACCUUACCAAGGCUUGACAUGAACCGGAAAGACCUGGAAACAGGUGCCCCGCUUGCGGUCGGUUUACAGGUGGUGCAUGGUUGUCGUCAGCUCGUGUCGUGAGAUGUUGGGUUAAGUCCCGCAACGAGCGCAACCCUCGUUCUAUGUUGCCAGCACGUGAUGGUGGGGACUCAUAGGAGACUGCCGGGGUCAACUCGGAGGAAGGUGGGGACGACGUCAAAUCAUCAUGCCCCUUAUGUCUUGGGCUUCACGCAUGCUACAAUGGCCGGUACAAAGGGUUGCGAUACUGUGAGGUGGAGCUAAUCCCAAAAAGCCGGUCUCAGUUCGGAUUGGGGUCUGCAACUCGACCCCAUGAAGUCGGAGUCGCUAGUAAUCGCAGAUCAGCAACGCUGCGGUGAAUACGUUCCCGGGCCUUGUACACACCGCCCGUCAAGUCACGAAAGUUGGUAACACCCGAAGCCGGUGGCCUAACCCCUUGUGGGAGGGAGCUGUCGAAGGUGGGACUGGCGAUUGGGACUAAGUCGUAACAAGGUAGCCGUACCGGAAGGUGCG
This 688-nucleotide ribosomal RNA is filed under the name bacterium TN99B. Its description in RNAcentral is "bacterial SSU rRNA". It matches the Rfam family "Bacterial small subunit ribosomal RNA", at positions 832 to 1516 of the family's 1533-position model. The record is from RNAcentral.